GGAGAAAUACUCAAGAGGCUGAAGAGGCGCCCCUGCUAAGGGUGUAGGUCGGGGAUACCCGGCGCGAGGGUUCAAAUCCCUCUUUCUCCG
This 90-nucleotide transfer RNA is filed under the name Clostridiales bacterium. Its description in RNAcentral is "tRNA-Ser". It matches the Rfam family "tRNA". Rfam says of the family: Transfer RNA (tRNA) molecules are approximately 80 nucleotides in length. Their secondary structure includes four short double-helical elements and three loops (D, anti-codon, and T loops). The record is from RNAcentral. Lineage: Bacteria; Bacillati; Bacillota; Clostridia; Eubacteriales.